GGAUUUUAUAAUUUACUAAUUUAUAAGGGGUUAAAUUUUAUUUAACACUAAAUUUAGUCUGUUUUAAAAAAUUUGCACCAAAAAUCCGGACCGCCAAAAAUCAAAACCCCUUUAUUAGCUUAAAGCAUAAAAGCUAGCGAAAUCAAUUUCUCCCUGAAUUAUCAAAACGAAAAUCAGUUUCUCUCUCUCUCUGUUUGUCUCAUGGAAGCAAUCGUGAAGUUAUCGCACCUCUCCGAUUCGGUGCCGCUGCUGUUAGAGCUGCUCCCCGGUGAAGAUGUGGAUGAUACGCCGUCGUGGAAGGAUGCAGUAGCGGAAGAACUCACUUUCCUCAACGUUGUUUCUCUCGGCGAUACUGUAAGUAUGACUGAUUAUACAGUUAUUUACGGAGUAUGCGUGCUUGAUCGCAUCAUUUGUAUGAGUUAUGUUGAUAUGUAUGUAUAUACGUUUGGUAUAUUGUAUUUUAGGCAGUUUGUUCUGUAUGGCAACUUAGAAUUGUGUAUGAUUUAGGUUUUUUUACGGGUGAUAUUAGUGUAUUUUAGGCAGUUUGUCUGUAUGGCAACUUAGAAUGUAGAAUUGUGUAUGAUUUAGGGUUUUUGACGGUGUAUUUUAGGCAGUUUGUUCUGUAUGGCAACUUAGAAUUGUGUAUGACUUAGGGUUUUUUACGGGUGAUAUUAUUGUAUUUUAGGCAGUUUGUUCUGUAUGGUAUACAAAGAGUGUUGAUGAACUAUAGUUCUUCCCAUUUAUGCCUAUUUAAAGAGUGUUAAUGGAGGAACAAUAGGUUGGUGAAUAUUGUUUUGGCCCUAAGAUUUUCCAAAUAAAUCAGUCUUUUGCUUUGUUUUUCUGCUGUUUACUAGUACAUUGGAUGAAGAUUAUGACAGCCUUGUGUUCUGAAGAGACGACGAGACCGAUAUCCCCUGAUAUAGACAAUCUGUAAAUAAAAAUUGAUACAAGAUUGCUUUUCGAUUAAGUAUUUGAUCCGUUCAUUUUUUUCUAUGUUAUAUGAAACAAUAUGUUACAAGAAAUCGGGUUUAUUGCGAAUGGUGGUGCGCGGGCAUGUGGAUUGAAAUUGUUCAAUUCGAUCCACCAUCCUAUGUUGGUGCAGGUAAGUCUGCGGUGUUGAAUAGUCUGAUUGGGCAUCCUGUAUUGGUAAUUAUGCUUGUUUUUAGAUUCUUUAUUGAAUUACCUGUCCCAACUUUGACAUUUUUCCGAGUGACAACUACUUUCUCAUUACGGUACCCUUUCAUUUCACAGCCAACAGGUGUAGGUGGUGCAACACGUGCUCCGACAUAUGUUGAUUUGAUAUGGAGUAGGUUGCUAGAUAUGGAAACCAUCGUUACGCACAAUACAGAGUCAGAAUCAGAAGAAAGUUGUCCAUGUGAGGCCUCUAAAUGAACCUUAAUUUUAGAGUGUAAGAAUCAAUUUAGGCACACUAUUCCCUAUCAACUAUUUGUGAAUGCGAAAUAUGUUUGCCACUUGGUUAUGGUUAUCUCACUAUGCUGAUUUUUUUUAUCUUCUUAUAUGUAUUGCCUGUUUCAGGGUUUCUUCAGGAAUCUAUAAGAACGAAUUGGCGCGAACAUGGGCAGAAAAUUUUCAAGUUUAGUACAAGUACAGGUGUGUUUCCUACUGUUGCUUCAAUUUACUACACUGGCUAAUAGGUUCUGACCUUUGUUUACGUUUUCGAGUUUACCUGCAUAUCCAAGAUAUUGCAAAAUCUCAGGAAAACAAAGUUCUACUCAUGCAGUAAAAAAGAUUAUUGAAAUAAAUUUUACACUCAGUAUCUUAUGACGUCAUCAUCAUUCUUCAUGGAGGUGAAAAAUCCAUGAUGUACCAUUAUUGCAAAGACAAGUUACUUUUAGGUUUUACGGAUACUUAAAAAGACUGAUUAGAUGGUGAGCAGCAUGGCAAUUUUUUUUCCCUGAAUACUGUAAAACUAUUUGUGACUUACUUUUACUUCAUCACGUAUGUUUCUCACAUUAUAUGAAACUAUAUACUGUUUCGUUAUCACACAACAAUAAAACGUUUUGCCAUUUGUAUAGCUGUCUAAGAUUUGAUAUCCAUCUUUUGCAGCUCCACCAUUAAAAUUGGCUGAUAUGCCUGGUGUAGACAAUUUGAAUCUUGAUCGUUCAUUGGUAAGGGGCUUCUCAACAGCAAUAAAACAAGUCUAUUUCUCAUAAUGUGUCUGACAGUAGUGUAAAAUUAGCAAUCCCUAAACUAUUUGUCAUAUUCGAAAAGUUGUGACCGUUACUUGAAACUAGUUCUCAAUAGGAUUAAUUCAAGCUAAACAGGUUUCGGUUGAAACUGAAAUUGAGAUAGAUUGUACACAUUGUAGAUGAGAUUGAUAUACAACUAAACUCAUUCUGGAUUGUUAAAUGUUGCGGUCUUCCGAAAUGUUGCUAAACUUCUACCCUUUGGACCUUGACUGAACUAGUAGUAAUAGCUGUGAAUUUGGAUCUGGUACCACAACGUAUAAUCUUCAGUAGUGUGAUAGGUUAUUUAUUAUUUGCAGAAAGAGUACGCUGAACCCAGUAAUGCGAUUUUGCUGGUUGUAAUACCUGCUGAUCAAGCUCUAAAUGUGCUCUCAGCUCAGGCUAUCCAAAUUGCAAAGAAACUCGAUGCAGAAGGUGGGUUUGCAAUAUCCAUUUUAUCUUUGUUUGUGAAUUUUAAAUAGAUAGUGAUUAUUUUCUGAUUGUUUUUGUUGAUGUGUGUGUGUGUGUGUGUGUGUGUGUGUGUGUGUGUGUGUGUGUGUGUACAUGAAUAACAUGUAUUAGCUAUUGUUACGCAGGUGCGAGAACUGUUGGUGUGAUUACCAAUAUAGAUCGAGCAAAAUCAGUACCAAAUGUCCUCAUUGCUGUGAAGUGUCUAUUGUUAAAUAAUGGACCUGCAAGUAUAUCGAACAUUCCAUGGGUUGCUAUGGUUGAAUGUGUAACUCUGCAUGGACAUGACAAAUCUUUGGAAACUAAAAUUGCUUGGGAAAACGAGUAUAAUAGUUUGAAACGUAUUUUGGAAGGAGUCCCGGAAAGCAAACUUGGGAGGUUUGCAUUAGUCGAAACUCUUGCUCAAAAGAUUCGGCAACGAAUGGAAUUUCGCCUCCGAAACUUGUCUACGGGUACGGCUUCUCUCAAGAAAGAAGAGACGGGAACACAAUCUUCUAAUAAGUUGUUGAAGAUGGGGUUUGUAGGAGUUGCGGUUUUCGUACUUGGGGGAGGUAUAUGUUGGUAUAUGGGCUACGAGAGCGUGGUGUCGACCCGGUUUCUUCUCACGGGUUUGGUGGGAUAUGGCUUGUCGUUUCUCAAGGAAGUACAUUCGACUGGAAUGAUGGCGAAAGACCUGUCAAAGCUGAAAUCCACAUUUUGGAAUAAGAAGAAGAAUCAGUAGAAUUGUAAUAUGAGAUACUCAUUUUUUAGCUUUCACAUUUUCUUUACCAAAUAAAAAAUGUCUAUGUGGUCCACGUCACUAAACCCACAUAUUGUAAAUGGUUCAAUUCAAUUUUUCGAAUUUUGAAAAAAUCGGAUUUCCGUCGAUUAGAAUUUACAUGGGAUUCCAAUUUACUAUACUAUCUUAGUUCCCAAAUUCGAAUUAAUUUUUCCCUUUAACACAUUAAUUUUUCGAAAUUACAUCACUUCUGUUAUUUUGGUUACGGCUUAUUUUUAUUUUUAUUAUUUUUUAAUGGGUAAAUUACACCCACACCCCUGAGAUAUGCUUAAAU
This is a non-coding RNA of Erythranthe guttata (spotted monkey flower), 3706 nucleotides long. Lineage: Eukaryota; Viridiplantae; Streptophyta; Magnoliopsida; Lamiales; Phrymaceae. The record is from RefSeq and is a predicted model, not a curated record.